UUAAAGUUUUAUUCUGGUUUAUUUGAUUGAUAUUUAGUUUAAGUAAAUGUUAAUUUUUGUGUUAAAAUUAAAAAUUUAAAUAGUAUAUUUAUGCAGUAUUUAAUUAUUAAAAAUUUAAAGAAAUUUAGAUUUAGAAAUUUAUUUUAGAAUUAACAGAUUUUGUGCCAGCAGUUGCGGUUAUACAAAAGAUUCAAUUAAUCAUUAAAAAAUUAUAAUAAAAAUUAUUUUUUUUUUAUAUUUUAAUUUAUUAGGUGAAAUUUUAAGUUGAAUAUAAUAAUAAUUUUAUUUUUUGAUUUAUUAAAUUUUGUAAUAAACUAGGAUUAGAUACCCUAUUAUUAAAAUGUAAAUUUUGUAAGUUUGAUUAGUAUUAGAUAUAUCUUGAAAAUUAAAGAAUUUGGCGGUAUUUUAGUCUUUUCAGAGGAACCUGUUCUGUAAUUGAUAAUCCACGAUUAAUUUAACUUAAUUCAGAAAUUUGUAUAUCGUUGUAGUUGAAUAUUUUAUAAGAAUUUUAAUAUUCAAAAUUUUUUAUUAAAAAAAUAAAUCAAAUCAAGGUGCAGUUUAUAAUUAAGAAGAAAUGGGUUACAAUAAAUUUAUUUUUGGAUUAAUAAUUGAAAAUUAUUUUGAAAUUGGAUUUGAAUGUAAUUAUAUUGAUUUUAAUAUGAUGAUUUUAGCUCUAAAAUAUGUACAUAUUGCCCGUCGCUCUCAUUUAAGAUGAGAUAAGUCGUAACAUAGUAGAUGUACUGGAAAGUGUAUCUAGAAAGCA
This 763-nucleotide non-coding RNA is filed under the name Scaphidium quadrimaculatum. The record is from RNAcentral. Lineage: Eukaryota; Metazoa; Arthropoda; Insecta; Coleoptera; Staphylinidae.